Molecule: unclassified non-coding RNA, 437 nt
Filed under: Hevea brasiliensis (rubber tree)
Lineage: Eukaryota; Viridiplantae; Streptophyta; Magnoliopsida; Malpighiales; Euphorbiaceae
Source: RNAcentral
GAAAUUUUUAUCAUUGCACAAGACCUGCAAAAUAACUAAUUUCAUGGUACAUAUUUCUGCAGUACAUUCAACUGGUGAAACUCUCCCAUUCAAACUGUUAAAAUCCUGAUGUCAAAAAAUUUUCAAGUUUACAAACUAAUGGGCAUCAGGAUAAAUGCAAAUUCUCUUGCCAAUGGGUAAAUUUCCAUCCUUCAGCCAGAUGUACUUUUCCUUGCAGCAUAGACACGGUAUGCAGCCAGCCCGACGAUGGCCACUGCAGCUCCAACUGAAACAAACAUAAGAGAACGAUUGAUGAGUCGAUUGUAUUGCUUGCGACUUCUCCCUGCUUCUGUUUCAGGAAUGCUCAAAUGAGGAUGUUCAGCUGCAUUAACAAUCCUGCGGAAGACACUAUUGGUAUCACCCAUUUUGGAACUGAUGGGAAUAGGAGCCUCAAUUCC